Long non-coding RNA from Trachemys scripta elegans, 1212 nucleotides. RefSeq lists it as uncharacterized. NCBI's taxonomy places the organism in Eukaryota, Metazoa, Chordata, Testudines, Emydidae. The transcript has 3 exons. The record is from RefSeq and is a predicted model, not a curated record.
GCUUUCGAAUCAUUUCUGUACGCUUGUGGAUGGAAAACCAUAUACAAAUAUACACUAUAUUUAUUGUGCUUAGCAGGCUAUUAGUCUAAUGGUCUUUUCAGUACUCUCAGUCAAAGUUUAAAGCGGGGUGGGGAAGGGUAGGAUUGCACCACAAUCUGGAAUAGACUUCACAGAUAUACAGAUCACCAAGAGAGAUAUAGACUAAACUGAAGACAUUAGCAAGAUAAAAAUCUUUUUGACCACUCCCAGCCACGCAUUUAGUGUUGCAAACGCUUUCCCUCCCUGUUUGUACUGCAUCAAGGCUCAGAGAGCCAUUGCAUAUAAAUAGAUGACCUUGCAGCUGAACUGGUAUGGUUAUGCUGGGAGAAAAAUCAAAAGGCUGAUCACCAUUCCUGGGUCAAAUCAUCUGUCACAUUUGGCAUCAAGACUAUCCAGAAAACAUGAAGCCUGAACACUUGCUUUGCCAGUUGCUGGGCUGCUUUCUGCUACCCACAGCUGCCUGUAAACCCUUGAAAGCAGACUGCACUCGUGUCAAAUGUAGCCCCUGCCCUGACCAACACACAGCGGUGACUGCGGAGAAGAACUGCUGUGCUAUAUGUGCCCCUCCAUGUUCCUGUCCAGAUUACCAGCAAUUGGAAUGCGCCAUGCAAGGCUACGAGGAUGGAAACGUCCCUGUGGGGAAAUCUUUCCACAUAGACUUUGCCACCCGACUCUGCACCUGUGUUUCUACAGGGAAUAUCUCUUGCACUUCAGUUUGUCCUUCGGUUUCACCUACAUGCAAGGAGACCGGAAGCCCUCCUGAUGGCUGUCCCCAGUGUGUAUGUCCCAUUGACAAUGACAGAAUCGUAAUUGCUGGCAGCACCAUCCCCAGGGACAGUGAGAUGUGUGUAUGUCCCCCUGAGGGAGGCAAACUACUCUGCACCCCAACCACCCCUCAGCCCACUACAGUCUAACAAUGAAGAGGCUCUGUUCUCCAACAGCUUCUAGUAUGGAAGCCUUGAGAGGUGCCUCUUCCACACCCCAGAAUGCCUGACCCUGCUGAGGAGGAGAAAGAAGAGGUGAACCUGUUCAGAAAGAGUCUGCAAGACCAUGCUGCAGCAGCCCAUGAACAAUGGCUAAGUGGUUCAACAUGACAGCAUGGAGGAGGAAUUCAAAGACCCUGGACAAGGUGCUGGAAGUGCACCAGGAAUGAAGGCGUCUCCACAGGCAGCC